AACUUUCAGCAACGGAUCUCUUGGCUCUCGCAUCGAUGAAGAACGCAGCGAAAUGCGAUAAGUAAUGUGAAUUGCAGAAUUCAGUGAAUCAUCGAAUCUUUGAACGC
RNAcentral lists this ribosomal RNA (107 nucleotides) under Termitomyces sp. J132. Its description in RNAcentral is "5.8S ribosomal RNA". It matches the Rfam family "5.8S ribosomal RNA", at positions 1 to 107 of the family's 154-position model. From Rfam's summary of the family: 5.8S ribosomal RNA (5.8S rRNA) is a component of the large subunit of the eukaryotic ribosome. It is transcribed by RNA polymerase I as part of the 45S precursor that also contains 18S and 28S rRNA. The record is from Rfam by way of RNAcentral. Lineage: Eukaryota; Fungi; Basidiomycota; Agaricomycetes; Agaricales; Lyophyllaceae.